UACGUAGGGGGCAAGCGUUGUCCGGAUUUAUUGGGCGUAAAGCGCUCGCAGGUGGUUCGAUGCGUCGUGCGUGAAAGACCCCGGCUCAACUGGGGAGGGUCGUGCGAUACGGUCGAACUGGAGGCCAGUAGGGGGAUGCGGAAUUCCGGGUGUAGUGGUGGAAUGCGUAGAGAUCCGGAGGAACACCAGCGGCGAAGGCGGCAUCCUGGACUGGUCCUGACACUCAGGAGCGAAAGCGUGGGGAGCGAUCCGGAUUAGAUACCCGGGUAGUCCACGCUGUAAACGAUGAGUACUAGGUGUCGGGGGUAUCGACCCCCUCGGUGCCGCAGCUAACGCGAUAAGUACUCCGCCUGGGGACUACGGCCGCAAGGCUAAA
RNAcentral lists this ribosomal RNA (376 nucleotides) under uncultured bacterium. RNAcentral's name for it is "bacterial SSU rRNA". It matches the Rfam family "Bacterial small subunit ribosomal RNA", at positions 524 to 898 of the family's 1533-position model. The record is from RNAcentral.